UUCCUCAUGUUGGCAAACCACUUGGAAAGCCCGAGCUCAUGUUGAUGAGGUCACUAGCCAGCGUAACGUCUCCGCAGAUACCCUUGAGUCAAUGCAACAUGAAAACUUCCACAACUGGUUCAAAGCUCAUAUAAAGAAAUUGGAGAGGAAAAAUGGCAUUGAUAGUAUUGAUGACAAUAUUAGAUGGCUAGCACGUGGCCCGGUUGAUGUCGCCAAAAGAUACCGUUCUUUCAUCUCUAGAGGCUACCGGUUCAGACCUAAACGCUUGGAUAGAGUGACUCAAAAUAGUGGAGUAGUGGUAACUGCAAAAACCUCUACAUAUGCUGCACCAGGUGAUGCAACCCCUGUUUUAGGUGAAGUGA
This is a long non-coding RNA of Brachypodium distachyon (stiff brome), 362 nucleotides long. RefSeq lists it as uncharacterized. The record is from RefSeq and is a predicted model, not a curated record. The transcript has 3 exons. NCBI's taxonomy places the organism in Eukaryota, Viridiplantae, Streptophyta, Magnoliopsida, Poales, Poaceae.